This is a long non-coding RNA of Oreochromis aureus, 4304 nucleotides long. RefSeq lists it as uncharacterized. The transcript is spliced from 4 exons. Lineage: Eukaryota; Metazoa; Chordata; Actinopteri; Cichliformes; Cichlidae. The record is from RefSeq and is a predicted model, not a curated record.
AGCCCAAAAACUGGAGACACUCCAGAGUCUCUGGAAAAACUACACAAGAAACUGAUUGACCCCUGUGUGGGUAACACAUUCCUGCCUUUUUCUGUCACUUUUUGAGAUAUUUAAAAGAUCUGAAAAGAAGACGGACAUUGUGCACCCAGAGUACAGAAGACUUACGUCUGAGCUGCCACAGCGGAAACAAUUGUCUUUAAUUAUUAUAAAAGCUUUUGAUUACUUCAUCCUCAGCUUAAGAACACAAUCAAUCAAUUUGAGACUUACAGGAACUCAGAGCUGUGUGAGGAAAAUACACCUUUUCAUCUGGAAGUUGAGUAGAACUCAAUUUACAACAAAACCAGAAACAUUGAAGAUGUCUGCUCGUCGUUUUGACUAACCUAAAGGAAUGAACGAUGAGGAAAAGAAAAUAUUCAAACGCGAAACUCUGAUGGAAAAAACCCAGAGAUUCUCUAUGAAGACACAUAUCAAACUGGUAUAAGAUGCAACCUCAUUUUCUUCACCCACUCUGGAGAAGCUUACCUUAAAUCCAAGGAUAUUCAAAUGGACAACAAACUGAAACUUGAAACGAACUGAAGCUCUCUGAUGGAGGCACUGUGUCCAUAUUUAUCAGUGGAAAGAUUUUGAUUCAAGGUAAAGAAGAAAUCCUUGAUGCAUUUGAGAAAAUGUUUAACAAAAUUCAACAAGAUGUAGACACAAGAAAAGAAGAACAGAUGAUGAAAACAUUACAGCAAAUGAAAGUUGAAGAAUCUGAUUCUGAAACAGAAGAACGAGACAAACAGAAACAGUCUAAAUAAAAUGUGAUACAACAAGAAAAAACAGGAAACAAUAUGGGCAUUUGAACUAUUAGAGUGUUUGAAGAAGUGGCUCUUCCUUCACUCAGGAGACCCAAACAAACAAAAGAGCACACACCCACUUCAUCCUGAGCUUGAGAACACAAUCAAUCCAUUUUAGACUUACAGGAACUCGGAGUCUGAACCAACUAGUGCAGGAGCUGUGUAAGGAAAGUACAUCUUUCGCCUGGAAGUUGAGUACAUCUCGAUUUACAACAGAACAAGAAACAUUGAAGAUGCCUGUUCGUCGUUUUCAUAGUGAACCUUUGGACAACCCAGAGGUUCUCUAUGAAGACAGAAAACAAACUGGUAAAAGAUGCAACCUCAUUUUCUUCACCCACUCUCGAGCACACUACAGGGCUGCAAUAGAAGAAGCUUACCCUACAUCCAGGGCUAUUCGAAUGGACAACAAACUCAAACUUGAGCUCUCUGAUGGAGGUACUGUGUCUAUAUUUGACAGUGGAAAGAUUGUGAUUCAAGGUAGAGAAGAAAUCCUUUAUGCAUUUGAGAACAGGUUUGACACAAUUAAACAAAGUGCAAAUAGGAGAAGAUAAGAACAGGUGUGGAAAACAUUGGCGCAAUUGAAAGUUAAAGAACCUGAUUCUGAAACAGAAGAUCAGGACAAACAGAAACAGUCUAAGUAAAAUCAAAUAAGCAGGGAAAGACAGAGCCUCAGUUUUCUGUUAUUGAAGUACAUUAGAUGGGGAGAAAUCAUUAUGGGUAUUUGAACUCUUAAUAAGUGAUUAUAAAAGGUUUUUUCUUGUGUUUAAAAAUUACUGGAUAUUUAUUCUGAUUUGCAAUACUUCUUUCUGUUAUUCAUUACAUACAUAUGUUUUAGACUGGUGUCAGGAAAAGAAAAUAUAUUAUGAUUACUGUAGCAGCAGCUGGUAAUAAAUCAGUCCUCAUCAAGGAACAGUGCUCUUUAAUGAAUGCAGCACGUAACUUCACAUCGUAGAGGUAACAGGGUGACACAUCAAGCUAUCAGUUAACCAUCUUAAACAUAUUCUAACUUUACAUUUUCCCGACUGCACUUUACUGUCUUAUUUUCUUAUUACUCUCUUAUUACUCUCAUAUUGCACCACCCUAUAGUGGUGCAAUAUGGUAUAAUCAUUACAGGACACAACAAUUGCAAACAUAAAAUUACAUUUAUGGUGUUUUGAUUCUAGCAGGACUGCAGCACACUUUCUUUCAGAACAUCAGUUUUUCACAGUUAUUGAGAUUUAGAGUCUUUAGCCACUCAAAUUAAGAUAAUGUCACACCACCAGCAUUCAACAGUCCUGCAAGAGGAAACAUUAUAUAGUCAUAUAUCUGUCUGUUUUGAAAAAUCUUCAUUUCUGUGUGUGUAACCAUGGAGAUAUAAGGUCCUCUGUACUGAAAGAAAUCAUUAAAAUUUGAUUAUUCAUGACUUUAACACUAAGAAAUUAUUUUGUGAAAUUACUUGAUAAGCACUCAGUAAUAGAAAAAGUCUCUGAAUGCAUGUAUGUGUGACUGGGUGAUUGAAUCUUGCAGCAUGAAAGUGUUUUGAAUGCUCAACUGACUAAAAAGGUGCUAUAUAAGUACCAACCUGAGUGGCAUGGUCCGGGUGAAGUCCGGUGUUUUUUCUAUGCCCACCCUGUGUUCCUCUCAUAUCCGCCCUGGGGCAGAGCCCUCAUCAUGCCACCUGCUCAGUUCACCUAUUCUUGAUCCCGAAACAAUCAGAAGACAUAUUUUAGGUAAGCAUCAUCUUCUCUCCUUUGUCAUUUCAUCAGCUAACCUCACGUUGAUAACAGUUCUCCUUGUUUCAUGCUCCUUGUUAAAAUCUCAUGACUUUCCCCUGUGCUUGAAUCGGCUUUUGGGUCGUAGUUCUCACAUUAGCCUCCGGGCUCCUGUGACACUGAGUGUUCAGAAACAUCAUCACACAUAUCAUUUAAUGGUUUUUCUUCAUUUUCACAACUAUUUACAUUGUAUAUUCUCACUGAAGGCAUACGAGUGAACACAUUGAAUUAUGUAGUAAACAAAAAAGUGUGAAAUAAUUCAAAACAUGUUUUAUAUUUUAGAUUCUUCGAAAUUGCCACCCUUUGCUUUGAUUACUGUUUUGCACACUCGUGGCAUUCUCUCAAUGAACUUAAUGAGGUAGUCACGUGAAAUGGUUUUCCAACAGUCUUCCCAGAGAGGAGUUCCCAGAGAUGCCGAGUACUUGUUGGUCCUUUGGCUUCACCUUGUUUUCCAUCUCAUCCCAAACCAUCUCGACUGGGUUUAGGUCAGGUGAUUGUGGAGGCCAGGCUAUCUGGCGUAGCACUCCAUCACUUUCCUUCUUGGUCAAAUAGCUCUUACGCAGCCUUGAGGUGUGUUUGGAGUCAUUGUCCUGUUGAAAAAUAAAUGAUGGUCCAACAAAAUGCAAACUGGAUGGCAUGUUGCUGCAAGAUGCUGUGGUAGCCAUGCUUGUUCAGUGCGUCUUCAAUUUUGAAUAAAUCCCCAACAGUGUCACCAGCCAAGCACCAACACACCAUAACACCUCCUCCUCCAUGCUUCACAGUGUGAACUACGCAUGUAGAGACCAUUUGUUCAUCUUUCCUGCAUUGCACAAAGACACGGCAGGUGGGACCAAAGACCUCAAAUUUGUCUUAUCAAACCAAAGAUUUCCACUGAUCUAAUGUCCAUUCAUUGUGUUUCUUAGUAGAAAAACAUCUCUCCUGCUUUUUACUUGUCCUUAGUAGUGGUUUCUUAGUAGCUAUUUGACCAUACAAGCUGAUUCGCGCAGUUCAAAGUUUUUGCAAUUUUCCAGACUGACUGACCUUCAGUUUUUAAAGUAAUAAUGGACUCUGGUUCUUGCCAUUUGAAUUUUAACAGUUAUCAGCUGUGUACCAACCUGACUUCUGCACAACACAACUAAUGGUACCAAUCCCAUUAGGAAGGCAAGAAAUUCCACAACUGAACCCUGACAAGGCACACCUGUGAAGUGAAAACCAUUUCAGGCGACUACAUCACGAAGCACACUGAGAGAAUGCCAAAGGGUUUGCAGCACUGUCAACAAAGCAAACGGUGGCUACAUAAUUCCAUACGUCUUGCUUCAUAUAUUUGAUGGCUUCAGUAUGAAUCCACAAUGUAGAAAGUAGUAAUAAAUAAAAAGACAUUAGAUGAGAAGGUCCAAACUUUUGACUGGUAGUGUAUGUAUAAAAGUAGCUUCAUGUAGGCUGUAACUAAAUUAACAACAUUCAAGUUUAAUUUAUAUAAUAUGAUGACUCUAGGAACUUUUUUUUACAAUCAAGAACAGGGACUUCAGGGAGUAAUUAUAACAGGGAUGGACAUAUACUAUUUAUUUAUUUGUUGUUAUUAACCCAAUAGGGUGGAUGUGGAGCAAGUUGUCAUGUAACUGAGAGAUUGGUGAUUCAAUCUUUGGGCAAGAUACUGAAGGCUUAGUUCCUCCCAACAGAUCCGAUGGAAUGUCUAUGAAUUAUUUAAAAAAAAAAAAAAAAAAAAAAAAAAAAAAAA